ACUGAGAUAUCUUAGUGGCGGACGGGUGAGUAACACGUGAGCAACCUGCUUUGAGAGAGGGAUAGCUUCUGGAAACGGAUGGUAAUACCUCAUAACAUAAUUGGGAGGCAUCUUCUGAUUAUCAAAGAUUUAUCACUCAAAGAUGGGCUCGCGUCUGAUUAGAUAGUUGGUGAGGUAACGGCUCACCAAGUCGACGAUCAGUAGCCGGACUGAGAGGUUGAACGGCCACAUUGGGACUGAGACACGGCCCAGACUCCUACGGGAGGCAGCAGUGGGGAAUAUUGCACAAUGGGGGGAAACCCUGAAUGCAGCGAUGCCGCGUGGAGGAAGAAGGUUUUCGGAUUGUAAACUCCUGUCUUAAAGGACGAUAAUGACGGUACUUUAGGAGGAAGCUCCGGCUAACUACGUGCCAGCAGCGGC
Molecule: ribosomal RNA, 420 nt
Filed under: uncultured bacterium
Lineage: Bacteria
Description: bacterial SSU rRNA
Rfam family: Bacterial small subunit ribosomal RNA
Source: RNAcentral